Long non-coding RNA from Acipenser ruthenus (sterlet), 1686 nucleotides. RefSeq lists it as uncharacterized. The transcript has 4 exons. NCBI's taxonomy places the organism in Eukaryota, Metazoa, Chordata, Actinopteri, Acipenseriformes, Acipenseridae. The record is from RefSeq and is a predicted model, not a curated record.
CCUGCUGCAACGUGAACGUGCGGUCUGCUGCAAACGGGAGCGAGUUUAUUGCUUCUGGACGGAAAAUGUUUGUGCAAGCUUGUGAUUUCAGCGAUUCUACAUCCAGAACAAAUUGUUUAAACACAGUCACAACAACAACAACUAUAUAUUGUGUUUGUUCAAAUGUGUAUAAAUGAGCUAGUUACUUACUCUUAUUAGGACGGAAGUAUUGUAUGUACUCUUACUAUAUUGUGAUUAUCGAACUGUGUACAUGGACAUAUUUUAGUAAACGUUGCUCUGAAGUUAUUGUAUAUUUUAUCUGCUCUUACUGCAUUGUGAAAUAUGUAUAUUUUGUGAGAGCUGUAAGUCGCCCUGAGUGAGGGCGUCUGCUAAGAAAAUGAAUAAGAAAAAGAGGAAGAAAACAAAACGCAACGGAAUUAUUUCUUAAAUCGUGAAGUCACGCCCGUGACGAGGACAAUAGAAACAGGUCAUCUUAACGAAGAUUAUGGAUCCAACAAUGUACAGGGAAAUAUUACUGUACAAGACAAUGGGAAAAUACCCCGAGAAGGCCAGGAAGGGGGAAAAAUUCAUCAUCCGGAGGCGUGCAGGACAAUAUGUGGUUCAAGAUGGAGAGCUCUAUUAUAUAUGUAAGAAGGGUACAGAGCCAUCAAUGAAGGUGAAGGUGGUCAAAGGCACUGAAGAGGCAGACAGUCUCUUCCUGGAAUUUCAUGCAAGUGCUAUAGGGGCACACUGUGGCCAACACAGAACCAGAGAGGCAAUUUCCUCCAGAUAUUACUGGCCUGGAAUGAGUUCCGAUAUUGAUAAUUGGGUGGGUGCUUUUUGAGUGCAGUACAUGACCUACACCAGUAUCCAAUACAAUAACUAGAGAGAUCAAUCGGUUUUUGGUUAUAAAAAUUAAUAAAUGAAAAGGAAGUUUAAACAACAGCUCAACUGAGUUUUCUUAACAUUGAAAAAUCUUACACUGUGUUAUAAACUUUAAAAACAUUUUUAUGCAAGUGCCAUCCUGUUAGAGGCUAUGAGACUGACACCAGCUGUUUGCUAUAUACCUGGUAACAUUUCAUUAAAUUAACAAAAAUAUUUUCCAAUAAUUCACAGUUUGGUAACAUAAUAUGAAAGCGACAUGUCGUGGAAUUCUAAAUAAAAGGAAGAGAGACUGCGAGUUCCAAACACACAGGCCUUUAUUUCUUAAGUUUGCAAACUGAAAACACUCUCAACACACAGGGUGCUAGAUAAUCAUCGAGCAGUGUUUCAACAUACAGAGUUAGAUCAGUUUCUUAUAUACCUUAAAACUGUCAGCAAGGCAGAGGGUUAGCCAAUGAUGAUUCAGAUAUUAGCAUAUAAGGAAAAACAACUUAUAACUGUGCAUACCUGGCAUAUAGCUAAGCAAACAGAUAACAGGAUGGGUGGUUUGGGUGUACGUACAAAGAAACAAGUCUGGCUCAUCCUGUUAUCUUCACAGCCACAGCUGCAGUGUAGGCAUCUUGCGGUUCCUUGUAACAAACUUUAUCUUAGGCAAAGCAUACAAGGUUAUGCGAGCAAGGUUAUAGGAGUACAAAAUGCCAGUACAUUAUGUCGAGCCAAUUCUAUUUUUCUGUAACAUAUUCUAUUACAAGCUGCCGUCCCGAGAGCCAGAGGGGGUGGAGCUGCAGUCCCGAGAGCCAGAGGGGGUGGAGCUGCCGUCCCGAG